This 468-nucleotide ribosomal RNA is filed under the name uncultured bacterium. RNAcentral describes it as "partial 16S ribosomal RNA". It matches the Rfam family "Bacterial small subunit ribosomal RNA", at positions 28 to 507 of the family's 1533-position model. The record is from RNAcentral.
GACGAACGCUGGCGGCGUGCUUAACACAUGCAAGUCGAACGGAAAGGCCCUGCUUUUGUGGGGUGCUCGAGUGGCGAACGGGUGAGUAACACGUGAGUAACCUGCCCUUGACUUUGGGAUAACUUCAGGAAAGUGGGGCUAAUACCGGAUAGGAGCUCCUGCUGGAUGGUGGGGGUUGGAAAGUUUCGGCGGUUGGGGAUGGACUCGCGGCUUAUCAGCUUGUUGGUGGGGUAGUGGCUUACCAAGGCUUUGACGGGUAGCCGGCCUGAGAGGGUGACCGGCCACAUUGGGACUGAGAUACGGCCCAGACUCCUACGGGAGGCAGCAGUGGGGAAUAUUGCACAGUGGGCGGAAGCCUGAUGCAGCAACGCCGCGUGCGUGAUGACGGCCUUCGGGUUGUAAACCGCUUUCGCCUGUGACGAAGCGUGAGUGACGGUAAUGGGUAAAGAAGCACCGGCUAACUACGUG